GUUGAACGCUGGCGGCAUGCCUUACACAUGCAAGUCGAACGGCAGCACGGGAGCUUGCUCCUGGUGGCGAGUGGCGAACGGGUGAGUAAUACAUCGGAACGUACCCUGAAGUGGGGGAUAACGUAGCGAAAGUUACGCUAAUACCGCAUAUUCUGUGAGCAGGAAAGAGGGGGAUCGCAAGACCUCUUGCUUUAGGAGCGGCCGAUGUCGGAUUAGCUAGUUGGUGAGGUAAAGGCUCACCAAGGCGACGAUCCGUAGCGGGUCUGAGAGGAUGAUCCGCCACACUGGGACUGAGACACGGCCCAGACCU
This 310-nucleotide ribosomal RNA is filed under the name uncultured bacterium. RNAcentral describes it as "bacterial SSU rRNA". It matches the Rfam family "Bacterial small subunit ribosomal RNA", at positions 28 to 338 of the family's 1533-position model. The record is from RNAcentral.